This 406-nucleotide ribosomal RNA is filed under the name uncultured bacterium. RNAcentral's name for it is "partial 16S ribosomal RNA". It matches the Rfam family "Bacterial small subunit ribosomal RNA", at positions 30 to 526 of the family's 1533-position model. The record is from RNAcentral.
AUUGAACGCUGGCGGCAGGCCUAACACAUGCAAGUCGAACGAGUGGCGGACGGGUGAGUAAUGUCUGGGAAAGUGCCUGAUGGAGGGGGACAACUACCGGAAACGGUAGCUAAUACCGCACACCAUCAGAUGUGCCCGGAUGGGUUUAGGUUGUUGGUGGGGUAAAGGCACACCAAGGCGACGAUCUCUAGCUGGUCUGAGAGGAUGACCAGUCACACUGGAACGGAGACACGGUCCAGACUCCUACGGGAGGCAGCAGUGGGGAAUAUUGCACAAUGGGCGCAAGCCUGAUGCAGCCAUGCCGCGUGUAUGAAGAAGGCCUUCGGGUUGUAAAGUACUUUCAGCGGGGAGGCGUUACCCGCAGAAGAAGCACCGGCUAACUCCGUGCCAGCAGCCGCGGUAAUUC